GGUGGGAGGGGGUGUCCCUCAGCCCAGAUUACGAGAGAGGGCAGGCCAGGCUGAGAGACGCCACUGGUGCAUG
This 73-nucleotide microRNA precursor is filed under the name Myotis davidii. Its description in RNAcentral is "mir-9193 microRNA precursor family". It matches the Rfam family "mir-9193 microRNA precursor family". Lineage: Eukaryota; Metazoa; Chordata; Mammalia; Chiroptera; Vespertilionidae. The record is from Rfam by way of RNAcentral.